GAGGGCGUGGCGGAAUCGGUAGACGCAGCGGACUUAAAAUCCGCCGAUUGUAUAAAUCGUGAGGGUUCAAUUCCCUCCGCCCUCA
This 85-nucleotide transfer RNA is filed under the name Tupiella akineta. Its description in RNAcentral is "tRNA-Leu". It matches the Rfam family "tRNA". From Rfam's summary of the family: Transfer RNA (tRNA) molecules are approximately 80 nucleotides in length. Their secondary structure includes four short double-helical elements and three loops (D, anti-codon, and T loops). The record is from RNAcentral. Lineage: Eukaryota; Viridiplantae; Chlorophyta; Ulvophyceae; Ulotrichales; Tupiellaceae.